UGGGGAAUUUUGGACAAUGGGCGAAAGCCUGAUCCAGCAAUGCCGCGUGAGUGAAGAAGGCCUUCGGGUUGUAAAGCUCUUUUGUCAGGGAAGAAACGGUGAGGGCUAAUAUCCCUUGCUAAUGACGGUACCUGAAGAAUAAGCACCGGCUAACUACGUGCCAGCAGCCGCGGUAAUACGUAGGGUGCAAGCGUUAAUCGGAAUUACUGGGCGUAAAGCGUGCGCAGGCGGUUUUGUAAGUCUGAUGUGAAAUCCCCGGGCUCAACCUGGGAAUUGCAUUGGAGACUGCAAGGCUAGAAUCUGGCAGAGGGGGGUAGAAUUCCACGUGUAGCAGUGAAAUGCGUAGAUAUGUGGAGGAACACCGAUGGCGAAGGCAGCCCCCUGGGUCAAGAUUGACGCUCAUGCACGAAAGCGUGGGGAGCAAACAGG
RNAcentral lists this ribosomal RNA (429 nucleotides) under uncultured Janthinobacterium sp. RNAcentral describes it as "bacterial SSU rRNA". It matches the Rfam family "Bacterial small subunit ribosomal RNA", at positions 355 to 776 of the family's 1533-position model. Lineage: Bacteria; Pseudomonadati; Pseudomonadota; Betaproteobacteria; Burkholderiales; Oxalobacteraceae. The record is from RNAcentral.